CGUCUGGAGACGCACGCAGAGAGAAUGAUGGUCGGAGAUGUAAUGGAACAUUUUGAUUGUUGUUGUUUUUUCUAAAAUUUCUAAAAUCUCCUGAUGUGGUUCACGCGACCUCACAGCCGAGUUCAUGCUACUUAUUCGUGGACAUUUUGUGUCUCGACUGCUAACGAUUAACGCACGUGAAUAUUGACAGAGAAAAACAGAACAGAGCCUUCCUGAGGAGCCUGAGGAACCUAUCAAUGAGGAACCAGAGCCGCCAGAGGAAGCAGAGCCACAGCAGACCUCCCCCUCUCCACCUCCAAGACCUGAACCAGUUAACAUCUCUGAGCCGGAGCCUGAAUCAGAAUCAGAACCAGAAGCAGAACCAGAGACCAAGACCCAGGAAGCCAACUCAGAAGCUGAGCCUGUAACGCAGCAGCCGCAGAAAGCAAAGGAAGACGGUCAAAGCCCUGACGCUGACAAAGCUGGUGAAAAGGAGGAGGAAGCUACUGGGGACGACUGUGGUGCUCCCAUCAGCUGUGAUGCAUUUAAGAGCUGCCUGAUGCGCAUUCCUCACACCUCCGAGUGCCUCGGCAACAUCAACGCGUUCUUCAAAGAGAACGGCAUCUCCAUUCCCAAAAUACCCUCCAUGCCUAAGCUAC
Long non-coding RNA from Anarrhichthys ocellatus (wolf-eel), 638 nucleotides. RefSeq lists it as uncharacterized. The record is from RefSeq and is a predicted model, not a curated record. The transcript is spliced from 5 exons. NCBI's taxonomy places the organism in Eukaryota, Metazoa, Chordata, Actinopteri, Perciformes, Anarhichadidae.